AUUGAACGCUGGCGGCAUGCUUUACACAUGCAAGUCGAACGGUAACAGGCCGCAAGGUGCUGACGAGUGGCGAACGGGUGAGUAAUGCAUCGGAACGUGCCCAGUCGUGGGGGAUAACUACUCGAAAGAGUAGCUAAUACCGCAUACGAUCUAUGGAUGAAAGCGGGGGACCGUAAGGCCUCGCGCGAUUGGAGCGGCCGAUGUCAGAUUAGGUAGUUGGUGGGGUAAAGGCUCACCAAGCCAACGAUCUGUAGCUGGUCUGAGAGGACGACCAGCCACACUGGGACUGAGACACGGCCCAGACUCCUACGGGAGGCAGCAGUGGGGAAUUUUGGACAAUGGGCGCAAGCCUGAUCCAGCAAUGCCGCGUGCAGGAAGAAGGCCUUCGGGUUGUAAACUGCUUUGUACGGAACGAAACGGCUCUGGUUAAUACCCGGGGCUAAUGACGGUACCGUAAGAAUAAGCACCGGCUAACUACGUG
RNAcentral lists this ribosomal RNA (481 nucleotides) under uncultured bacterium. Its description in RNAcentral is "partial 16S ribosomal RNA". It matches the Rfam family "Bacterial small subunit ribosomal RNA", at positions 30 to 507 of the family's 1533-position model. The record is from RNAcentral.